Molecule: long non-coding RNA, 1433 nt
Organism: Phyllopteryx taeniolatus (common seadragon)
Lineage: Eukaryota; Metazoa; Chordata; Actinopteri; Syngnathiformes; Syngnathidae
Exons: 3
Source: RefSeq, a predicted model, not a curated record
AUAAGAGCCUUGAAAACGAGAACAUGUCUGGGCAUGUUCCCGCUUGCACAAAAAGGGAUUUUCCAGACUGAUGGUCCGCUCAGCGUUUCACACAACCCUGUGGUCAGAGAAAGCACAUGUUCUUGGCUAAAUACUCAUUUUUUUCAGAUCUUCAAACAUCUCAGACACCCCAUGUCACGUGCACAAGCCACGUGAGUGUCCAACUCUCUACAGAUGCGGGGUUGUGGCCUCAGGACAUGACCCUCAAACACCCGAUGUCACGUGUACAAGCCAUCUGUCUCAGCGAAGCCCUCGGGACGCUGUCACACCCACCAUCGACGCGGGGCCGGAUGGGAUCAUAUUCGCAGGUGACCCCGAACAUGAUGUCAUGUGACAAAAACGGCAGGAAAUAUGAUCUCACUUUGUUUUCACUGGAUGUGACAUCAUUUUGUUUUUUACCGGAUGUGACGUCAAUGGGGACAGUUGGGCCGGGAGGUGACAUCAUCGGACACGUGCGCUGGCACGCUGCCAAGUGAUGACGUCAUCGGCAACCCAUCAUUUUGUAGAUAUCCCUAUACUCUCCCUCUCUCGUAGGUUGUCAUUCUGCCAACUCCUCAUUUGAUCUGUCUCAUAUUAACGCCUUACGUACACCUAAUUACAGAUGUGCUCAUGAGUUGAAACACCCUGACAGAAUUUGUAAAAUGUUGGAAAGUUUUUAGAAAUAGGACCAAACCAUCUCGUGAUUUUCUUUGUCACUGUUUUGUGCUAUUCUGACAUGCUUUACAGUUUCAUUUGAAAAACCGUUCCAAAUCAAACAAAUAUUUGCCAACACAUCUUACUCAUUGGACCAGAUAAUGUAAACGAAUGAGUACAACUGCAGGAGGCUGUUAUGGAUGACAAAAGGAUACCGUAUUUGCCCACUCUAUGGCUCUGCAAGCACAAACAAGCUGGCAUGUUGGCACUGUUUUCAGACCUGGGGCCUCAUGUACAAAGACUUGCAUGAUGGGAGUACAUGUGGCUGACUAUGAUCACCCCACAAGGUUAAUACCUUGUAUUUUUCUAACUUAUAACAAAUGUGUUCAUACAGUAACCUACACUCAGCCCUGUGAGAUAAAGGUUCAUGCGUAAAUGUAUGUGUGGUAUUUGUAAUAAAUCUUUUGAAUUCAAAUAGAAGCACAUCAGGAUAUCAAAAACUUUGACUCCUUUUUGAUAACUCAAUUUAUUAUUUUAAUACACAGGAGAGAACAGUCACACACUGACAUAAAAAAUAAUGUUUUAUUUUUAAGAGAAGAGGGGUAAAUUAUGUCAAUUUAAACACAUUUUAAUCAUGUGAAACCGAUGCACAUGUUCAAAUUAAGUAAAUUUAAAGGACUUUUUUUCAGUGCAUGUGCUGGAGUCACAAAGUGAUUGUUCGGAUAAUAGGCGGCAUAAAUGAUCGCCUAUAUCAAUUAAUA